Molecule: ribosomal RNA, 465 nt
Filed under: uncultured bacterium
Lineage: Bacteria
Description: partial 16S ribosomal RNA
Rfam family: Bacterial small subunit ribosomal RNA
Source: RNAcentral
CCUACGGGGAGCAGCAGUAGGGAAUCUUCGGCAAUGGACGAAAGUCUGACCGAGCAACGCCGCGUGAGUGAAGAAGGUUUUCGGAUCGUAAAACUCUGUUGGUAGAGAAGAACGUUGGUGAGAGUGGAAAGCUCAGCAAGUGACGGUAACUACCCAGAAGGGGAAGGCUAACUACGUGCCAGCAGUCGGGGUAAAACGUAGGUCCGGAGCGUGGUCCGGAUUUAUUGGGCGUAACGCGGGUGCAGGGGGUUUAUUAAGUUGGGUGUAAAAGGCAGUGGCUAAACCAUUGUAUGCAAUUGAUACUGGUAGACUUGAGUGCAGGAGAGGGGGGUGGAAUUCCAUGUGUAGCGGUGAAAUGCGUAGAUAUAUGGAGGAACACCGAUGGCGAAAGCGGCUCUCUGGCCUGUAACUGACACUGAGGCUCGAAAGCGUGGGGAGCAAACAGGAUUAGAUACCCGGGUAGUC